Molecule: long non-coding RNA, 405 nt
Filed under: Equus asinus (donkey)
Lineage: Eukaryota; Metazoa; Chordata; Mammalia; Perissodactyla; Equidae
Description: lncRNA (ENSEASG00005031435.1)
Source: RNAcentral
CUCCUACCCCAUCCCUAGUCACGUCCUGUGUGGACAUUCCAAUGUUCGAUUGCCAUCAUAUCCCAAACACUGGCCAUCACCUAAGAUGCUGACACCCAAAUGCCAAAACACCCCCAUGGGCAGCACGUCCCUUUUCCAAUAUCUAUGAACUCAUCUUCAGUCGGAACACAGCCAGCACACCCAGUACCCGAAGAGGCCCACCUCCAACGUGGGGAUAUCCCACCCCCAAUUCUUCUGAAGCCCCAACACUCCCCUGGCCAUACCCACCUUCAUACUCCAGACUUCCCCCGGAUGAUGGGCAAUGCAGACCAGCAUCCGGCCCUUGAACUUCUCAGGGCCUUUAAUGAUUCUCAUACCUUUGUGAUUCUCAUAUAAGGAAUAAGGUCUCCAAGAAUCUCACCCUGG